This 239-nucleotide unclassified non-coding RNA is filed under the name plant metagenome. RNAcentral's name for it is "partial contains small subunit ribosomal RNA, internal transcribed spacer 1, and 5.8S ribosomal RNA". The record is from RNAcentral.
UUUCCGUAGGUGAACCUGCGGAAGGAUCACUACCGAGUGAGCGUCUCUCAGGCCCGACCGCCCACCCUGUGUGUUUGUGACCUUGUUGCUUUGGCGGUCCCGGCGCGAUGGGAGGCCGCCGGAAGCUCACCGCUUUGGGCCCUUGCCCGUCAGUAGCCCCCUUAAAUUCUUACUAAACCUGUCGUCUGAGUUAAUGGAUAGAAUGAAAAAAACUUUCAACAACGGAUCUCUUGGUUCUG